GCUCAGGAAAAACGCAAGAGACGUGCCUAACACAUGCAAAUUUAAUAGUUAGUGAUUAACUAUAGUGAAUUGGUGAGUAAUAUAUGAAAAUUUAAUUUUAGAUUAGAAGUAUCCCCUAUUAAUUUAGGACUAAUCUCUAAUAAACGCAUUUGUGUUUUAAAAAGUUAAAACUGUCUAAAAAAGAGUUCAUAUCUGAUUAGCUAAUUAAUAAGAUAAUAACUUAUUAAGGCGAAGAUCAGUAGCUGCCCUGAGAGGGGGACCAGCCACAUUGGGAUUGAAAUACAGCCCAAACUCCUACGGGAGGCUGCAGUGAGGAAUCUUCUGCAAUGAGCGCAAGCUUGACAGAGCAUCGUCACGUGAAGGAAGACAGCUAAUUAUUAUAGUUGUAAACUUCUUUUACUUAAAAAUGAAUACUGACAUUUAAGUAAAUAAAGUAUCGGCAAACUCCGUGCCAGCAGCCGCGGUAAAACGGGGGAUACAAGCGUUAUCCAAAAUUACUGGGCGUAAAGCGUAUGUA
This 517-nucleotide ribosomal RNA is filed under the name Eimeria brunetti. RNAcentral describes it as "bacterial SSU rRNA". It matches the Rfam family "Bacterial small subunit ribosomal RNA", at positions 22 to 573 of the family's 1533-position model. The record is from RNAcentral. Lineage: Eukaryota; Apicomplexa; Conoidasida; Eucoccidiorida; Eimeriidae.